AAUUUUGGACAAUGGGGGGCACCCUGAUCCAGCCAUCCCGCGUGUGCGACGAAGGCCCUCUGGUUGUAAAGCACUUUUGGCAGGAAAGAAAUCGCAUAGGAUCAAACCCUGUGUGGAUGACGGUACAUGCAGAAUAAGUACCGCCUAACUACUCGCCAGCAGCCGCGGUAAUCCGUAGGUUGCAGGCGUUAAUCGGAAUUACUGUGCGUAAAGCGUGCGCAGGCGGUUCGGAAAGAAAGAUGUGAAAUCCCAGGGCUUAACCUUGGAACUGCAUUUUUAACUACCGGGCUAGAGUGUGGCAGAGGGAGGUGGAAUUCCGCGUGUAGCAGUGAAAUGCGUAGAUAUGCGAAGGAACACCGAUGGCGAAGGCAGCCCCCUGGGAUAAUACUGACGCUCAUGCACGAAAGCGUGGGGAGCAAACA
This 422-nucleotide ribosomal RNA is filed under the name uncultured bacterium. RNAcentral describes it as "partial 16S ribosomal RNA". It matches the Rfam family "Bacterial small subunit ribosomal RNA", at positions 360 to 774 of the family's 1533-position model. The record is from RNAcentral.